RNAcentral lists this ribosomal RNA (490 nucleotides) under uncultured bacterium. RNAcentral describes it as "partial 16S ribosomal RNA". It matches the Rfam family "Bacterial small subunit ribosomal RNA", at positions 29 to 507 of the family's 1533-position model. The record is from RNAcentral.
AUGAACGCUCGCGAUAGGCUUAACACAUGCAAGUCGAGGGGUAACGUGUUGGAAGCUUGCUUCCGAUGACGACGACCGGCGGAUGGGUGCGUAACGCGUAUGCAACUUGCCUCACAGUGGAGAAUAACCCGGAGAAAUCCGGACUAAUACUCCAUACACUCUUAAGUACGCCUGUACAUGAGAGGAAAGAUUUAUCGCUGUGAGAUAGGCAUGCGUCCUAUUAGGUAGUUGGUGAGGUAACGGCUCACCAAGCCGACGAUAGGUAGGGGUGCUGAGAGGCAGAUCCCCCACAUUGGGACUGAGACACGGCCCAAACUCCUACGGGAGGCAGCAGUGAGGAAUAUUGGUCAAUGGAGGAAACUCUGAACCAGCCAAGUCGCGUGAAGGAAGAAUGUCCUAAGGAUUGUAAACUUCUUUAGCGAGCGAGUAAGGACUUCCACGUGAUGGGAGUUUGAAAGUAGCUCGAGAAUAAGUAUCGGCUAACUCCGUG